GAUGAAAUCUUUUCAGCAAAAACCAUUACCUCAACCUUAUGAAAUUUUGAAAUAUGAUUGGCUGAGUAGUGUUUAAUAAAUAUUUAAGUUGACAUACGAUAAUGUUACAAGUACUAAAAUUGGUAUUUUUCAGGAGGAAAAUAGAAAUGUGGAGAAAUACAACUAAAUGUACAAGCCAAGAGAUGGAUCAAAAAGCGAGAUGCCAAAGGAGUUUUUCAAGAUGAUGCCU
This 229-nucleotide long non-coding RNA is filed under the name Carica papaya (papaya). RNAcentral's name for it is "long non-coding RNA (CPAP_LNC003400)". Lineage: Eukaryota; Viridiplantae; Streptophyta; Magnoliopsida; Brassicales; Caricaceae. The record is from RNAcentral.